UCGAAAAGGUCUAGGUCCCAAAUCAUCAUCAGAAAGCCAAUGUAGAAGUAGCGGUGAAUGAUCAGAUGAAGUCUGAUUGAGAUGUAUCACAGUAAGUUGUUUACAAAAAUCUGCAGCUAUAGGGUUUAUCAAAACCUAUCCAAUCUCUUACUGUCCCUACCAUUCGUCCAAGUGAACUGAGACCCAGAAAAACCUGCAUCCUCUAAUCCAUAGUCCAACAUCAUAUCAGAGAAGGCACUAGAGCCUCGAUCUCGCCAACUAUGACUGGUAUGCUCGCCCUCAUGAGCAAUUACAUUAAAGUCUCC
This 305-nucleotide long non-coding RNA is filed under the name Olea europaea (common olive). RNAcentral describes it as "long non-coding RNA (OEUR_LNC011462)". The record is from RNAcentral. Lineage: Eukaryota; Viridiplantae; Streptophyta; Magnoliopsida; Lamiales; Oleaceae.